GUCGCAGAUUAUCCGGCUUACGGCGUCACAGGCCCCAAUAAGGACCUCUCCCCUACCAGCGGAGACCGGAAGCUCGCUCAGUCCGCUCACAUGUACCAUUAUCAACACCAAAAGCAGCAGAUGAUUGCCCUUGAAAAGUCAUCCGGUGGAGAGCGCCAUGGAUCGACCUCUGACGUGGACUCCGAGGAGGAAGGGGAGGAGAACGAGUACACUGUGUACGAGUGCCCCGGCCUUGCCCCGACUGGUGAGAUGGAGGUGAAGAACCCACUGUUCCCCGACGACCCAACACA
This is a non-coding RNA of Penaeus vannamei (Pacific white shrimp), 290 nucleotides long. NCBI's taxonomy places the organism in Eukaryota, Metazoa, Arthropoda, Malacostraca, Decapoda, Penaeidae. The record is from RefSeq and is a predicted model, not a curated record.